UCUGUCUGUCUGUCUGUCUGUCUGUCUCUGACUGCAUUGCAAUGGCCACCAAGCAUAAACUUGAUUCAAAGAAUCCCCACUACCAAGAGGGGAGACGUAUGGCUCUGGAGCUGAAAUAUGAACACAUUUUAGCUGAAGCCAAGAGAGCAGCUGAUGAGAGAAAACGUUUACGAGACCCUCCACACACCUCUCUGUAGGACGUGGUAAGCCGAGGGGAAGGCGAGGAGGCCGACGCCAUGCCUCCGCUACAGCCACAUAUCCCACGUUUGAGUGCUCCCUGUCAUCCAGUGUUGAGGUUCCUUUUAUUGCAACCUCGACAAAACUAAAUCCUCAAGAGGAA
This is a long non-coding RNA of Esox lucius (northern pike), 340 nucleotides long. RefSeq lists it as uncharacterized. Lineage: Eukaryota; Metazoa; Chordata; Actinopteri; Esociformes; Esocidae. The record is from RefSeq and is a predicted model, not a curated record. The transcript is spliced from 3 exons.